Molecule: ribosomal RNA, 398 nt
Filed under: uncultured bacterium
Lineage: Bacteria
Description: bacterial SSU rRNA
Rfam family: Bacterial small subunit ribosomal RNA
Source: RNAcentral
GACGAACGCUGGCGGCGUGCUUAACACAUGCAAGUCGAGCGGUAAGGCCCUUUCGGGGGUACACGAGCGGCGAACGGGUGAGUAACACGUGGGUGACCUGCCCUUAGCUCUGGGAUAAGCCUGGGAAACUGGGUCUAAUACCGGAUAUGACUCCAUGACGCAUGUUGUGGGGUGGAAAGCCUUGUGCGGCUAGGGAUGGGCCCGCGGCCUAUCAGCUUGUUGGUGGGGUGAUGGCCUACCAAGGCGACGACGGGUAGCCGGCCUGAGAGGGCGACCGGCCACACUGGGACUGAGAUACGGCCCAGACUCCUACGGGAGGCAGCAGUGGGGAAUCUUGCGCAAUGGGCGAAAGCCUGACGCAGCGACGCCGCGUGAGGGAUGACGGCCUCGGUUGUAAC